AGAACGAACGCUGGCGGCAGGCUUAACACAUGCAAGUCGAGCGCCCCGCCAAGGGGAGCGGCAGACGGGUGAGUAACGCGUGGGAACAUACCCUCCGGUUCGGAAUAGCUCAGGGAAACUUGGAUUAAUACCGGAUACGGCCUAGCGGCGAAAGAUUCAUCGCCGGAGGAUUGGCCCGCGUUCGAUUAGCUAGUUGGUGAGGUAACGGCUCACCAAGGCGACGAUCGAUAGCUGGUCUGAGAGGAUGAUCAGCCACAUUGGGACUGAGACACGGCCCAAACUCCUACGGGAGGCAGCAGUGGGGAAUAUUGGACAAUGGGCGCAAGCCUGAUCCAGCCAUGCCGCGUGAGUGAUGACGGCCUUAGGGUUGUAAAGCUCUUUCGCUAGGGACGAUAAUGACGGUACCUAGACAAGAAGCCCCGGCUAACUUCGUGCCAGCAGCCGC
This 445-nucleotide ribosomal RNA is filed under the name uncultured bacterium. Its description in RNAcentral is "SSU rRNA". It matches the Rfam family "Bacterial small subunit ribosomal RNA", at positions 26 to 518 of the family's 1533-position model. The record is from RNAcentral.